Long non-coding RNA from Dreissena polymorpha, 738 nucleotides. RefSeq lists it as uncharacterized. The transcript has 2 exons. Lineage: Eukaryota; Metazoa; Mollusca; Bivalvia; Myida; Dreissenidae. The record is from RefSeq and is a predicted model, not a curated record.
UCAUAUUGUACUACACCAACAGGUACUCAUCACUGACAUCAGUUAAAGAUUUUUGGCCAAAGGAAACAUCUAUUCCAAGCUGGCAGAUCUUCAUGGAAUCAGCAGAUCAUCUUUCGUUAAUUGACAUGCCUUCACAAGUUCAAUCAGCAAACAUAUGAUCGGUUUCCAGUCCGCGUACAACAACAAACUUGCAUGAAGGUUGGAUUCUGCCACAAGGCCCGGGAGCAGUGGAUGGGACUCUCAUACCCAUAAUACUGAAUAUGUUAUAUUACACACAUGCAGUUGAACACAGCAGGAACUCUUGAAGAAAAAAAUGUGUAUUUUUUUUAUUCGAACUUAAAUGUAAAAUAUAUAUUUAAUUUUAGCUCGACUAUACCUUGAAUGAUAAGCUGUGUAUAAAAUUAUGGUAAACAUGCAACAUCCUUAUAUCACUGUUUCUAUUACAUAUUUUCAUUAAAAGCACUUAUGUAUUCAGGGUCAUUAUGUCAUUGUGAGGUCACUGACCAAGUUGCUUAUCUCUGACCUGCAUUUAGCUUAAUAAUGCCCCUUUUGUACUUAAAAUGUUCCACUUAAAUUGUGUGUACAGCUACUCCAUAUCCCUAUAUUUUCCACAGAUAAUCCUUCACAUAUGUCCUCAGAAUUUUUUUAAAACAUAUAAAUAAUAUUUCUUUGGGUCAUUGUUAUAACCACUACAAAUAUUUACUGUUGUUGCGAAUAAAGUUGUUAAAACUGUUUAAA